Molecule: ribosomal RNA, 397 nt
Filed under: uncultured bacterium
Lineage: Bacteria
Description: partial 16S ribosomal RNA
Rfam family: Bacterial small subunit ribosomal RNA
Source: RNAcentral
AUACGUAGGUGGCGAGCGUUGUCCGGAAUUACUGGGUGUAAAGGGCGUGUAGGCGGGAAUGUAAGUCAGAUGUGAAAUACCAUGGCUCAACUGUGGGGCUGCAUCUGAAACUAUGUUUCUUGAGUGCUGGAGAGGAAAGCGGAAUUCCUAGUGUAGCGGUGAAAUGCGUAGAUAUUAGGAGGAACACCAGUGGCGAAGGCGGCUUGCUGGACAGUAACUGCAGCUGAGGGGCGAAAGCGUGGGGAGCAACAAGGAUUAUAUACCCUGGUAGUCCACGCUGUAAACGAUGGAUACUAGGUGUAGGAGGUAUCGACCCCUUCUGUGCCGGAGUUAACACAAUAAGUAUCCCACCUGGGGAGUACGGCCGCAAGGUUGAAACUCAAAGGAAUUGACGGGG